ACGUAGGGUGCAGGCGUUAAUCGGAAUUACUGGGCGUAAAGGGUGCGCAGGCGGUUUGUUAAGACAGGUGUGAAAUCCCCGGGCUUAACCUGGGAAUUGCGCUUGUAACUGGCAGGCUAGAGUGUGGCAGAGGGGGGUGGAAUUCCACGUGUAGCAGUGAAAUGCGUAGAUAUGUGGAGGAACACCGAUGGCGAAGGCAGCCCCCUGGGUUAACACUGACGCUCAUGCACGAAAGCGUGGGGAGCAAACAGGAUUAGAUACCCUGGUAGUCCACGCCCUAAACGAUGUCAACUAGUUGUCGGGGAAGCAAUUCCUUGGUAACGAAGCUAACGCGUGAAGUUGACCGCCUGGGGAGUACGGCCGCAAGGUUA
This 371-nucleotide ribosomal RNA is filed under the name uncultured bacterium. RNAcentral's name for it is "bacterial SSU rRNA". It matches the Rfam family "Bacterial small subunit ribosomal RNA", at positions 525 to 896 of the family's 1533-position model. The record is from RNAcentral.